RNAcentral lists this unclassified non-coding RNA (1258 nucleotides) under Hevea brasiliensis (rubber tree). The record is from RNAcentral. Lineage: Eukaryota; Viridiplantae; Streptophyta; Magnoliopsida; Malpighiales; Euphorbiaceae.
AUUGUUUAGAGGAUGAUUCUUUAGCUGCUGGCAUUCGUCAGCUUUUAAAACAGCUUGGGAAGACAUUGAAGAAGGAGGAGAAGGAGACUGUGAAGGAGGUGCUGUCAAGUGCUCAGGUAGUGCUUGCAACCAACACUGGAGCUGCUGAUCCACUUAUCCGAAGGCUGGAUACUUUUGACCUGGUUGUUAUAGAUGAAGCAGGGCAGGCAAUAGAACCUUCUUCGUGGAUCCCAAUAUUGCAGGGUAGACGCUGUAUUCUUGCUGGGGAUCAAUGCCAGUUUGCUCCUGUUAUUCUAUCAAGAAAAGCCUUGGAGGGUGGCCUUGGUGUCUCUCUACUGGAAAGAGCUGCUGCCCUGCAUGAAGGGGUCCUUGCAACCAAGUUAACAACACAAUACCGUAUGAAUGAUGCGAUAGCCAGUUGGGCCUCCAAGGAGAUGUAUGGUGGAUUGUUGAAGUCUUCUUCAUCAGUUGCUUCACAUCUUCUUGCAGAUUCUCCAUUUGUUAAGCCUACGUGGAUAACUCAAUGCCCCCUGCUGUUACUUGACACAAGAAUGCCAUAUGGAAGUCUGUCAGUAGGUUGUGAAGAGCAUUUAGACCCAGCUGGAACAGGCUCAUUUUACAAUGAAGGGGAAGCUGAAAUUGUUGUGGAACAUGUGUUUUCCUUAAUUUAUGCAGGGAUUGGACCAACAACUAUUGCGGUUCAAUCACCUUAUGUUGCUCAAGUACAACUCUUGAGGGAGAGGCUCGAUGAACUUCCAGAGGCGGCUGGUGUUGAGGUUGCAACCAUUGACAGCUUCCAAGGUCGUGAGGCUGAUGCAGUAAUCAUAUCAAUGGUCCGCUCAAACACUUUAGGAGCUGUUGGAUUCCUCGGGGACAGCAGGCGAAUGAAUGUUGCCAUCACAAGAGCACGGAAACAUGUAGCAGUCAUCUGUGAUAGCUCAACAAUAUGCCACAACACCUUCCUGGCUAGGCUCUUGCGCCACAUCCGCUAUUUUGGUAGGGUGAAGCAUGCCGAGCCUGGUAGCUUUGGGGGAUCUGGGCUUGGUAUGGACCCAAUGUUACCAUCGAUUAGUUAAGUAUAAAUCACAUAUAUUUCUCCAACUGGAAAUUGAUGUGGAGAACUUAACAUAGACGUCUGGUUUCUUUCCUGUCAGCAUCUGCUUUUUCGUCCAUUUAUGUACAGCAGGUUUUUCAUUUUUGUCGGUAGAAUAAUCGACAACUACAUUCUCUGUUGUUAUUGGUUAGAUUUGUAUAUAAG